Coffea eugenioides is the source of this 527-nucleotide long non-coding RNA. RefSeq lists it as uncharacterized. NCBI's taxonomy places the organism in Eukaryota, Viridiplantae, Streptophyta, Magnoliopsida, Gentianales, Rubiaceae. The record is from RefSeq and is a predicted model, not a curated record. The transcript has 2 exons.
UUCAACUUUCAAGAUCUUUUUACAAAAGGAGGGAAUAAAUAUCAGAAUACAUUUUUUGGCACUAACCAUCAACAAUUCUGGUAAUAAUUAUAAUCAAUAGAAAAUGUGGUGUUCAUUGCUCGCAUUACUACAUAAUGGGAGAAAGGGAGAGGAAAGGGUGGCCCCAAGACCUCCCGUAGAAUCUCAAAGAGGGACCAGGGAGAACAGAGCUCCUUGAUGUCAGAAGAACCGCUGCCAACUUUCCUCUAUUAGCUGAAAAUUGAAGCUCUGCUGCACUGAAGGCCCUCAAGUACAUACUCAAACCCCAGCCAAAGGUUUCUGUAAUGACUUGAUCAUCUGCUAACUGAAUUCUGCACAUGAUCAGACUUUUCUCAUCAUUCUUGUAAUGACUUGAUCUAUGAAGCACCAAGGUAACUUAGCUGGAAAUUGUUGGCAUGAAUAUUACCCACAUUCUGAUCCCAGCAAUGCUGUCUCUGUUUCGAAAUAGAGUCUUCAUCUUGCCUAGUCCAGUCGGCAGUUUACAUCAA